This 72-nucleotide transfer RNA is filed under the name Candidatus Palauibacterales bacterium. Its description in RNAcentral is "tRNA-Ala". The record is from RNAcentral. Lineage: Bacteria; Pseudomonadati; Gemmatimonadota; Gemmatimonadia; Candidatus Palauibacterales.
GGGCCAGGGCGCUCUGGAGAGCCGGGAACUCCUGCAAAGUUCCGGCGAUGGGUUCGAUCCCCAUCUGGUCCA